CAGCCGCCGCGGUAAUACAGAGGGUGCGAGCGUUAAUCGGAUUUACUGGGCGUAAAGCGUGCGUAGGCGGCUUCUUAAGUCGGAUGUGAAAUCCCUGAGCUUAACUUAGGAAUUGCAUUCGAUACUGGGAAGCUAGAGUAUGGGAGAGGAUGGUAGAAUUCCAGGUGUAGCGGUGAAAUGCGUAGAGAUCUGGAGGAAUACCGAUGGCGAAGGCAGCCAUCUGGCCUAAUACUGACGCUGAGGUACGAAAGCAUGGGGAGCAAACAGGUUUAGAUACCCCGGUAGUCCCUGUCUCUUAUAC
RNAcentral lists this ribosomal RNA (301 nucleotides) under uncultured bacterium. RNAcentral describes it as "partial 16S ribosomal RNA". It matches the Rfam family "Bacterial small subunit ribosomal RNA", at positions 509 to 807 of the family's 1533-position model. The record is from RNAcentral.